AUUGAACGCUGGCGGCAGGCCUAACACAUGCCAGUCGAGCGGAUGAAGGGAGCUUGCUCCUGGAUUCAGCGGCGGACGGGUGAGUAAUGCCUAGGAAUCUGCCUGGUAGUGGGGGAUAACGUCCGGAAACGGGCGCUAAUACCGCAUACGUCCUGAGGGAGAAAGUGGGGGAUCUUCGGACCUCACGCUAUCAGAUGAGCCUAGGUCGGAUUAGCUAGUUGGUGGGGUAAAGGCCUACCAAGGCGACGAUCCGUAACUGGUCUGAGAGGAUGAUCAGUCACACUGGAACUUGGCCACGGUCCAGACUCCUACGGGAGGCAGCAGUGGGGAAUAUUGGACAAUGGGCGAAAGCCUGAUCCAGCCAUGCCGCGUGUGUGAAGAAGGUCUUCGGAUUGUAAAGCACUUUAAGUUGGGAGGAAGGGCAGUAAGUUAAUACCUUGCUGUUUUGACGUUACCAACAGAAUAAGCACCGGCUAACUUCGUG
This 484-nucleotide ribosomal RNA is filed under the name uncultured bacterium. RNAcentral's name for it is "partial 16S ribosomal RNA". It matches the Rfam family "Bacterial small subunit ribosomal RNA", at positions 30 to 507 of the family's 1533-position model. The record is from RNAcentral.